GCACCCGUUUGCUUCAUGCGCACUUCUGUAUCAGACGCCAUUUUGUCAGGCUGCCCCUCCUGCUGUCGUCUGUCAAACAGCAACAAAAUAUAACUGAAUGUUGUCAGGAAGGUUCAACCUCUAUUGCUGUACCACCAACACCACCUUUGACAUUUUAGGCCAGCAUAAUGAAAUAGCAGACGUUACUUCAGAGCAGCCCUCCUAUUUCCCAUCUGUUUCAUUUGUGAGACGCAGAAGACUGGAGACAAAAGAGUGUCACAGUGUGGAUCUAGCAAUAGCCACAUGAUUGAAAAGCUUGCCUGGGAUGUCUGGCACCUGGGCUCACUGACAGGUCUCCCACACAAAGCUCAGUGAGAGCACAGAGCUCAGUUCAGAAUCUGAAUGCCUGCCUCUAAUCUGAAAGGAGAGACCAGCCUUUAUGUUGUUUGAUAAAGCAGCAACUUGUUUUUGCAACGACUUGUAAAGUGAUAAGAAGCGUGACUGUGCCACCAGACUAAGAAGUCCUGUAAGGGAGUUACCUCAUGUUGCCACAUUUUGUUAUAGCCAAGUUGCAGCAACCAGAUACAUUUCAACUCACUGGAAGUACAUACGAGGUAACGUGGCAUAAUUGUCCCUCUGCAAGCAUAUGUCUCCGAACUAUUGUUUAAAACUGCCAGAUGCAACUUCGUUCUUUUUUAAGAGUAAGGCAACAAGUCAGACUCUGUCGUUAUAAUCGUUCCCAAAGGGCAUUUGAAGCACUUUGCAACCAAAAGGUUGUGAUUACACCUCAAUUGCCAUACUGCUUAUUAUUGCUUAUUGCUUAAUUAUGGAACCGUAAUAUGUUUCUUGGAUGCUGUCAGCUAAGUGGCAUUAUUUGGUUCUCACGCUCUGCUUCAUUUUUGCAUGGGACAGGGAAGCUUUGUGAUGUUCUGAUAUGAUGGAGGGGAUAGCAGUAGGAUGGCCAGCUCAAUUCUGACCUUCAGGAGAACAGGACAUUGAAUUCUUGCCCUGCCAAUUGCUUGACUUGGGCAAGUCUUUCCCUACACUCAGGUGCUUAAGGCUUAAUGAAUAUGUGGGAUAAACAGUGGGCUUCAUCUUAACCUCUAGGUGUGGGUUCAAGAUGCUUAAGCCACUACUUUCAGCGUGUGCAAAUCCAGCUGUCUUGGUUUAAAUGGUCUUCAUUGACCUACAGUAGCUGAGGUGUGUGUGUAGGGUGAGAGAGCAGAGGAACAGAGUUUUAAUAUCUUGAAAUAUUCUAGCUAGUGUCACAGGGCACAGUGAU
Centrocercus urophasianus (Greater sage-grouse) is the source of this 1261-nucleotide long non-coding RNA. RefSeq lists it as uncharacterized. The record is from RefSeq and is a predicted model, not a curated record. The transcript has 3 exons. Lineage: Eukaryota; Metazoa; Chordata; Aves; Galliformes; Phasianidae.